AGGUAAGUCCCUAAUGGAAGGGAAAAGUAGCUGAUAACUAUUUUUUAAUUAGUUCAACUCUAAUCUUAUCUU
Molecule: transfer RNA, 72 nt
Filed under: Astrotoma agassizii
Lineage: Eukaryota; Metazoa; Echinodermata; Ophiuroidea; Euryalida; Gorgonocephalidae
Description: tRNA-Ile
Source: RNAcentral